RNAcentral lists this ribosomal RNA (301 nucleotides) under uncultured bacterium. RNAcentral describes it as "partial 16S ribosomal RNA". It matches the Rfam family "Bacterial small subunit ribosomal RNA", at positions 509 to 809 of the family's 1533-position model. The record is from RNAcentral.
CAGCCGCCGCGGUAAUACGAAGGGGGCUAGCGUUGCUCGGAAUGACUGGGCGUAAAGGGCGCGUAGGCGGCUGACACAGUCAGAUGUGAAAUUCCUGGGCUCAACCUGGGGACUGCAUUUGAGACGUGUUGGCUUGAGUGGAGAAGAGGGUCGUGGAAUUUCCAGUGUAGAGGUGAAAUUCGUAGAUAUUUGAAAGAACACCGGUGGCGAAGGCGGCGACCUGGUCUUUAACUGACGCUGAGGCGCGAAAGCGUGGGGAGCAAACAGGAUUAGAUACCCGCGUAGUCCCUGUCUCUUAUAA